AUGUAUGUCGGAUAACGUUUACAAACAAGGAUUUUCGAAUAUUUAAGAUAUUUGGCAACGUUUUACUUAUCUCAAAUAUCUGUCAUGGAUAAUUAAAGUUAUUUAAAUCAAUUUGGCAUCAAAAUUAUUUCGAUACCUGUAAAAUAUCGGCGUUCGUGUUCAUUUGAAGAUCGCUCGUGCAAGAAUCGAAUUUGCCUCAUAGUGGCCAAGGCAAGAUAAUUCACAGCUCGCUUUCCAAGUUUAGAGGCAGUUAUGAUCUAGAAUAUGUUUCAAUGCUUAAAAUUGUGAUAAUAUUAUCACUACACCUUGUUACAGCAUUUGGAUAUGGUAUUCAUCAGUACGUAUGGUUGUUAUUGUCAUAACAUGCAGGGGCGGAUCUAGGUUCAUAUCAUAAUGAAAUGUGACAAGACGAAAUACAGAAAAAACUGGACUUUUGCUAAUAGAGCUUCAAGCUGUAGUAAUCUGUUCAAAAAUAUUUUAGACAUGAUCGUGAACAUUCAUAAACUUUACAAAAAUUAGCUCGAACCAUUACCAGUCCUAAACAAAGUUCUUUCUCUUUGCAAGUUGGUCUUAAUGAUUGUGAUAUUGGGGAAAAUGACCGUGCUGUUUCUGGUGAAGUUGAUUCUUUAGAUGUUUCUUUUUGCCAUGGAAAAGCUAAUUCUUUGGUCCAUGGGAAUGCAGACAUUGGGGAAAGGCAUUUUUCUGAUUCUUCUGAUUUUGAAGAUGAUAGUUUAAGUGUUUCUUUUCAAGAUGGGUUAGUUGAUUGGUGAAUGAGUACUCAAUUAAGCAAAAUUUUGUUGAUGGUUUGCUUGCUCUUAAUAAGGAUAAUGGUCAUCAAAAUUUGCCUAGUUGUGCUUGCACUUAGUUGCAUACAUCAAGAUGUAUUUCCAUUCAGAAAAAUCUGGCAUGGAUUACGUAUAUUUUUCUUUUGGUGAACAAUUGUUAAAGCACUUUCACAAGCAUCCUUGUGAAACAGUUAAAAACAUUAAUCAUCUUGAGGCUUCCUUUGUUUAGAAGAUUUCUGCAAAAAAUGUAUGGCCACUGUUGUGUGCCAUUUUGAAUAUCAAA
Xenia sp. Carnegie-2017 is the source of this 1068-nucleotide long non-coding RNA. RefSeq lists it as uncharacterized. The record is from RefSeq and is a predicted model, not a curated record. The transcript is spliced from 3 exons. Lineage: Eukaryota; Metazoa; Cnidaria; Anthozoa; Malacalcyonacea; Xeniidae.